GAACCAGGUCUUCGGGUCUGAAGGACUUUGGCCUAACUUUAGUGUUGUAGUAUCGGGCCACUCUUUGUCGGUAGGAAGUCAUGUGGAGUUGAGCCUUGCGUCGGAGCUCGGGUAGGAGGUCCAAGUCAACUCUCCGACACUCGGAGUUGUCCAGUUCACGAUAUUGCUCAGCUCUAGUCGAUGGUAACCCGAUCUCUAGUGAGAUCAUUGCCUCCAUCCCAUAGGCCAGGUUGAAAGGAGAUUCCCCAGUCGGGACCCGGAGUGUUGUUCGGUAUGCCCAC
Molecule: long non-coding RNA, 281 nt
Filed under: Elaeis guineensis (African oil palm)
Lineage: Eukaryota; Viridiplantae; Streptophyta; Magnoliopsida; Arecales; Arecaceae
Description: long non-coding RNA (EGUI_LNC030756)
Source: RNAcentral